This 1394-nucleotide ribosomal RNA is filed under the name uncultured bacterium. RNAcentral's name for it is "bacterial SSU rRNA". It matches the Rfam family "Bacterial small subunit ribosomal RNA", at positions 28 to 1381 of the family's 1533-position model. The record is from RNAcentral.
GACGAACGCUGGCGGCGUGCCUAAUGCAUGCAAGUCGAGCGAGCUUGCUUAGAUGAAUUUGGUGCUUGCACCAAAUGAAACUAGAUACAAGCGAGCGGCGGACGGGUGAGUAACACGUGGGUAACCUGCCCAAGAGACUGGGAUAACACCUGGAAACAGAUGCUAAUACCGGAUAACAACACUAGACGCAUGUCUAGAGUUUAAAAGAUGGUUCUGCUAUCACUCUUGGAUGGACCUGCGGUGCAUUAGCUAGUUGGUAAGGUAACGGCUUACCAAGGCAAUGAUGCAUAGCCGAGUUGAGAGACUGAUCGGCCACAUUGGGACUGAGGCACGGCCCAAACUCCUACGGGAGGCAGCAGUAGGGAAUCUUCCACAAUGGACGCAAGUCUGAUGGAGCAACGCCGCGUGAGUGAAGAAGGGUUUCGGCUCGUAAAGCUCUGUUGGUAGUGAAGAAAGAUAGAGGUAGUAACUGGCCUUUAUUUGACGGUAAUUACUUAGAAAGUCACGGCUAACUACGUGCCAGCAGCCGCGGUAAUACGUAGGUGGCAAGCGUUGUCCGGAUUUAUUGGGCGUAAAGCGAGUGCAGGCGGUUCAAUAAGUCUGAUGUGAAAGCCUUCGGCUCAACCGGAGAAUUGCAUCAGAAACUGUUGAACUUGAGUGCAGAAGAGGAGAGUGGAACUCCAUGUGUAGCGGUGGAAUGCGUAGAUAUAUGGAAGAACACCAGUGGCGAAGGCGGCUCUCUGGUCUGCAACUAACGCUGAGGCUCGAAAGCAUGGGUAGCGAACAGGAUUAGAUACCCUGGUAGUCCAUGCCGUAAACGAUGAGUGCUAAGUGUUGGGAGGUUUCCGCCUCUCAGUGCUGCAGCUAACGCAUUAAGCACUCCGCCUGGGGAGUACGACCGCAAGGUUGAAACUCAAAGGAAUUGACGGGGACCCGCACAAGCGGUGGAGCAUGUGGUUUAAUUCGAAGCAACGCGAAGAACCUUACCAAAUCUUGACAUCCUCUGACCCCUCUAGAGAUAGAGUUUUCCCCUUCGGGGGACAGAGUGACAGGUGGUGCAUGGUUGUCGUCAGCUCGUGUCGUGAGAUGUUGGGUUAAGUCCCGCAACGAGCGCAACCCUUAAGCUUAGUUGCCAUCAUUAAGUUGGGCACUCUAAGUUGACUGCCGGUGACAAACCGGAGGAAGGUGGGGAUGACGUCAAAUCAUCAUGCCCCUUAUGAUUUGGGCUACACACGUGCUACAAUGGACAAUACAAAGGGCAGCGAAACCGCGAGGUCAAGCAAAUCCCAUAAAGUUGUUCUCAGUUCGGAUUGUAGUCUGCAACUCGACUAUAUGAAGCUGGAAUCGCUAGUAAUCGUAGAUCAGCAUGCUACGGUGAAUACGUUCCCGGGUCU